AACGAACGCUGGCGGCAUGCCUAACACAUGCAAGUCGAACGAUGCCUUCGGGCAUAGUGGCGCACGUGUGCGUAACGCGCGGGAAUCUGCCUUUCGGUUCGGAAUCACUCACUGAAACUUGAGCUAAUACCGGAUAACCUCGCACGACCAAAGAUUUAUCACCGAAAGAUGAGCCCGCGUAGGAUUAGCUAGUUGGUGAGGUAAAGGCUCACCAAGGCGACGAUCCUUAGCUGGUCUGAGAGGAUGAUCAGCCACACUGGGAAUGCGACACGGCCCAGACUCCUACGGGACGGAGCAGUGGGGAAUAUUGGACAAUGGGCGAAAGCCUGAUACAGCAAUGCCGCGUGAGAGAUGAAGGCCUUAGGGUUGUAAAGCUCUUUUACACGGGAAGAUAAUGACGGUACCGGGAGAAGAAGCCCCGGCUAACUACGUG
RNAcentral lists this ribosomal RNA (433 nucleotides) under uncultured bacterium. RNAcentral describes it as "partial 16S ribosomal RNA". It matches the Rfam family "Bacterial small subunit ribosomal RNA", at positions 29 to 507 of the family's 1533-position model. The record is from RNAcentral.